UGGGGAAUCUUGCGCAAUGGACGAAAGUCUGACGCAGCGACGCCGCGUGGGUGACGAAGGCCUUCGGGUUGUAAAGCCCUGUGGGGCGAGACGAAUAACAUCUGUUGAAUAGAUAGAUGAGUGACGGUAUCGCCUUAGCAAGCACCGGCUAACUCUGUGCCAGCAGCCGCGGUAAGACAGAGGGUGCAAACGUUGUUCGGAAUUACUGGGCGUAAAGGGCGCGUAGGCGGUUCUUCAAGUCAGGUGUGAAAGUCCUGGGCUCAACCUGGGAAGUGCAUUUGAUACUGAAGAACUAGAGUGUCGGAGAGGAAGGUAGAAUUCUUGGUGUAGAGGUGAAAUUCGUAGAUAUCAAGAGGAAUACCUGUGGCGAAAGCGGCCUUCUGGACGAACACUGACGCUG
This 400-nucleotide ribosomal RNA is filed under the name uncultured bacterium. RNAcentral describes it as "bacterial SSU rRNA". It matches the Rfam family "Bacterial small subunit ribosomal RNA", at positions 355 to 748 of the family's 1533-position model. The record is from RNAcentral.